AUACGUAGGGGGCGAGCGUUGUCCGGAUUUACUGGGCGUAAAGGGUGAGUAGGCGGUUAUAUAUGUCAGAUGUAAAAGGCACAGGCUUAACUUGUGUAAGCAUUUGAAACUGUAUGACUUGAGUGCAGGAGAGGUAAGUGGAAUUCCUAGUGUAGCGGUGAAAUGCGUAGAUAUUAGGAGGAACACCAGUGGCGAAGGCGACUUACUGGACUGUAACUGACGCUGAGUCACGAAAGCGUGGGUAGCAAACAGGAUUAGAUACCCUGGUAGUCCACGCUGUAAACGAUGAGUGCUAGGUGUUGGCCAGCGAUGGUCAGUGCCGAAGUUAACACAAUAAGCACUCCGCCUGGGGAGUACGGUCGCAAGACUGAA
RNAcentral lists this ribosomal RNA (372 nucleotides) under uncultured bacterium. RNAcentral describes it as "bacterial SSU rRNA". It matches the Rfam family "Bacterial small subunit ribosomal RNA", at positions 523 to 898 of the family's 1533-position model. The record is from RNAcentral.